UUAACUCUCAGUGAUGCUGCAGUGCUCGUUUGACUUUGGGACCUGAAGGAUACGGAGUUUAGGACCCAGAUUACUCCCAGAUUUAAGAGCAUCUUAUUCCGACAAAUAGGGCAAUAACGACGGCCGCUUGCAUGUUCUGCAAAAAAAUGUGCUUUGUUGUGUAUCUGACGGACAAACACCAAACCAGUUCCACAUCACUGAAGUUGCACCAUUUUUACAAACCAAUUCUGGUUCUGUCAGGGUUCUGGGUCUGAGCAACCCAGGAUCCCUGAGCAGUUUAUGGACUUGUUAUAUUAUAUGUAUUAUUGGUGUUUUGCUGCCCCCUCUUCUCCGUCCUUGUAGAUAUGAGUAUAUGUGUGUAUGGGUGUAGGUGUAUCUGAACCCUUGUUUACAGGCGCCUUCAGGCCUGGUGGGUGUGGCCCUGCUAGGGGAAUGGCCACACCCGAAGCCACGCACCUGCUGCUGAUCAGGCCUCGUCGGGGGAGCUACUUAAGAGAGUCUUGGAGCUCCCAUCGGCGCGGGAUCAUUGCGUGAGACUCCACGAGGAGCGUGGGAAGCCUGAAGAGCGGCGAGCACCGGGAGUGCGACACACGGGAGCAGAGAGCACAAGGAGGACAUGACACGGGAGUCUGGAGAAAACACGGGGAUUUAUUAUUGUUUGUACCACACACUGUAAAUAAACGCACUGUUCGCACACAGA
Molecule: long non-coding RNA, 700 nt
Organism: Oreochromis niloticus (Nile tilapia)
Lineage: Eukaryota; Metazoa; Chordata; Actinopteri; Cichliformes; Cichlidae
Exons: 2
Source: RefSeq, a predicted model, not a curated record